GUGGGGAAUCUUGCGCAAUGGGCGAAAGCCUGACGCAGCAACGCCGCGUGCGGGAUGACGGCCUUCAAGGUUGUAAACCGCUUUCAGCAGGGACGAAAAUGACGGUACCUGCAGAAGAAGCCCCGGCUAACUACGUGCCAGCAGCCGCGGUACUACGUAGGGGGCAAGCGUUGUCCGGAUUCAUUGGGCGUAAAGAGCUCGUAGGCGGUUCAGUAAGUCGGGUGUGAAAGCUCCGAGCUCAACUCGGAGAGGCCACCCGAUACUGCUGUGACUUGAGUACAGUAGGGGAGCGUGGAAUUCCUGGUGUAGCGGUGAAAUGCGCAGAUAUCAGGAGGAACACCAGCGGCGAAGGCGGCGCUCUGGGCUGUAACUGACGCUGAGGAGCGAAAGUGUGGGUAGCAAACAGGAUUAGAUACCCCAGUAGUCC
RNAcentral lists this ribosomal RNA (427 nucleotides) under uncultured bacterium. Its description in RNAcentral is "partial 16S ribosomal RNA". It matches the Rfam family "Bacterial small subunit ribosomal RNA", at positions 354 to 796 of the family's 1533-position model. The record is from RNAcentral.